CGUGGGUGGUCCACUGCGCAUGACACGGCGAGAAGUCCAUUGAACCUUAUCAUUUAGAGGAAGGAGAAGUCGUAACAAGGUUUCCGUAGGUGAACCUGCGGAAGGAUCAUUGUCGAGAUGCUCGAACGAUGGGUCGACCCUGCAAAAACAUUUGCGCGCUCUGGCAGAUGCCGUGCUUAUGCUGUCUUUUAGGCAUGGCAAUUCAAGGGAUUCGUGCAAGCGUAGGUGAGCGUCGCAGGCUUUAAGUUAUUUGUGAACUCAUUAGCAUGCUUGCUGUUGCACGGUGAAUCUCCGAUAUGGGGGUCUUCUUGUGGCAUUCAUUUUUAUUACAUUUACAACUCUCGACAACGGAUAUCUUGGCUCUCGCAUCGAUGAAGAACGCAGCGAAAUGCGAUAUGUGGUGUGAAUUGCAGAAUCCCGUGAACCAUUGAGUAUUUGAACGCAAGUUGCGCUCAAGGCUGUUAGCCAAGGGCGUGCCUGCCUGGGUGUCUUUCGAUCCUUUGCGUCGCCCUUUAGAAGGCAUGCUCAAAAUUGUGGGCGUGAGGUCCUUCCUGCGGAUGCGCCUGGUGGCUCCUCGUGCCCGAGGCACGUUGGGUUAAAGAGCGGGCUUUUGUCGCCGAGCUCUUGGCAAUUUGUGGCAGUGCAUUGGUCGAGAGUGGCUGGUGUUCGGACGGACAUGCCAGUGCAGCUGAGGGAUAUGUGGUACCAACAAACCCGUCGUUCGGUUUGCCUAUUGAAGGCUGGCAGUGCGAGGUGACCUCAGGUCAGGUGCGGCCACCCGUUGAG
RNAcentral lists this ribosomal RNA (786 nucleotides) under Cleistes paranaensis. RNAcentral's name for it is "eukaryotic LSU rRNA". The stretch from base 337 to 491 matches the Rfam family "5.8S ribosomal RNA". The record is from RNAcentral. Lineage: Eukaryota; Viridiplantae; Streptophyta; Magnoliopsida; Asparagales; Orchidaceae.